RNAcentral lists this long non-coding RNA (225 nucleotides) under Mytilus galloprovincialis (Mediterranean mussel). Lineage: Eukaryota; Metazoa; Mollusca; Bivalvia; Mytilida; Mytilidae. The record is from RNAcentral.
UUGGCGGCCUCUUAAGAGCUUUAGUAUAGUAUUAAAAAAUAAAACGCACAUCAAACUUGAAAGUGUAAUAACAUGAGUAACACGACGGAUGCCACAUGUGGUGCAGGAUCUGCUUAACGGCUCCGGAGCAUUCAGAGAUCACCCUCAGUUUUUGGUGGGGUUCGUGUUGCUUAGUCUUCUAUGUUGUGUCUUGUGUACUAGUAUUUGUCUGUUUGUCUUUUUUCG